Molecule: small nuclear RNA, 100 nt
Organism: Gorilla gorilla gorilla (western lowland gorilla)
Lineage: Eukaryota; Metazoa; Chordata; Mammalia; Primates; Hominidae
Source: Ensembl
GUGCUCACUUUGGAAACACAUUUACUAAAAUUGGAAUGAUACAGAGAAGAUUAGCAUAGCCUCUGUGCAAGGAUAGAUUUGUGAAGCAUUCUUUAUUUGU